UAACCCCUUGCCUGGCAUGGGAUCACCAGUGAUCCCAACUUGUAUUGUUUACAUUGAUCGCGUGUUUACAAUAUCUAUUUGUCAAGUUAUAAGGUUAACCAAUACAUUGUUGUAAAGCUACGACAUUGUAUAUUCGUUUCGAUAUAAGCAUUAUACAAUCAAGAAAACUUUGCUGCCGUUUUUUGUUAUUCUGUAUCAACUUUAACAACGUGAUACAACUAUGAAGGGGGUGGGGGGGGCUUACCUUUUUAUGUUGUGUAAAUGUAAUGCUUGGCACAAUAAUGAUGACAUCGGUCUUUUUACCACGUGAAGAGUCCAGUAUAUGAUGUCCAUGGGAAAAAAAUUGUCUAAAAACAUGCAAACUGUUAAAAAUAUCCAUAUUACUUCUAUUGUUUACAUCCUGACAUUUGCUAAUCACAUGGGGCGUUGUCCUGUUUAUUCGACGAACUCUCCACAUCUAGCACAUUAUUCAACGAAAACAACAUAUCAGUGUUUUUAGUAGAGUGUCUGGAAAUGAAUGAGAUCGGUCCAGAAGAUGUCCGAUGAAAACUGGCCAUGUAAUUAUAGAAAGUAUUGAAGGAUGUCAGGCGCUUUUGCUGACGUGUGAUCAUGUAUAAUGCUAAUAUGUGUGGUAAAAAAAUAAACCAAUAGCAAUGGGAAACUUUUCUGUUGCCACCCAUCUGAAGCCUAUGGCAUAACAAAUACGCCCAUGUGCGGAUUUACAUAAUCUCGCGUUUAUAACAGUGUUCCUUUGUGCGCGCAACCAUUUGCUUCAUGGAAAUUUACGCACACGUGACGAGGUUGUCAUGACACCCAGGCUCUGCUCUAUGCUACACCUGCUGGCUGGCGUUCACUCGCUCUGUUUACAUUCGCCUGCUGCAAUGGGUUCACGUCGGGGACAGAAGUUAUUUCUCCUACUGCUGCAAUGGAAUAACUUCUGCAAAGCUGGGAUGAAGAAAACGUGUAUUUUUCAGAAGAGAGUUCUGUAUCCAGCGCCGUCUCUGAAGAAGAGGAUAUGUUUUGGGCAGGUCUCGAUCCAGUUUUAGAUCGUGACGAUGAUGAUGAUGAUGAGAGUACCAGACAGAGGCCUCUCUGGACAACAGACAAACAAAGUGUCCAUGUGUUGCUGCAACAUCUACAGCUGUCUCUGGGAGUUCAAGAGGAAAUAGACAGCCCAGCACUUUGUGUGAUGGCACUUCAGCACCAAUAUUCUGCAACAGGAUUUGGCAAAGGCUAAAAACCAGAAGCCAAUGUCUCAAAAGGCAUUCUGGGAGACUGAUUUUGGAGCUGGCUGGACAUCCCAACAAAAGCAAGGUGCCUGACCCUCCUCCUCGUCGAUCUUGUGAGUGUCACAGUCCUGUGCACAUCAACUUUUUCUGCUCACUUUUUGAGAAAUGUUUAUUACUGUCUUGAUUGCUAAUAACAAAGAGAAACUUUUGUUUGUAGAUGUAUACAAAUAUAUAAAUAAAAACUUUUUAUUUGCUAAA
Molecule: non-coding RNA, 1487 nt
Organism: Pimephales promelas (fathead minnow)
Lineage: Eukaryota; Metazoa; Chordata; Actinopteri; Cypriniformes; Leuciscidae
Source: RefSeq, a predicted model, not a curated record